This 69-nucleotide transfer RNA is filed under the name Lyncina vitellus. Its description in RNAcentral is "tRNA-Asp". The record is from RNAcentral. Lineage: Eukaryota; Metazoa; Mollusca; Gastropoda; Littorinimorpha; Cypraeidae.
AAAAAGUUAGUUAAAAUAUAAUAUUAGGUUGUCAGCCUAAUGUCACUAAUUCGCCUUAGUACUUUUUAC